AAUGAGACAUAGUUACAAAGACACUCAUAAUGCAGUAUAUAAAUGUACCAAAGUAACAUUGUUCGCCUUAAAUUUAGACAAUAUUAUUUGUCUAAUAUAUUCAAUAAAUUUGUUUUUAGGUCAUGCUCGAUGGAAGAUAUUCCAGGUCCAUGGAUAGGAAGACUCAAUAUUGUAACAGCGGUAAGGACACGACUCCCGCUGCUGCAGACAUACUGGGUGUCACAUGCUUUGUGGACGUCAGUCCUCACCAUAACCCCGAUGAGAACUUUCACUGAUGGGGGGUUGACCUACAGACCUGCAACAGCACAGGCAAGGAUUAAACUUUAGAAUCAGGGCUGCCGUGAGGCCUUAGCAGCUGGGACAGCAUCUCCUCUGACUUGGCGGAGAACAGAGUGCCGUUCUGUCCCAUGCGGUGGCGAUGGAGUGUGGAGGACAGUCCCCGGAGCCCGGCACAGCCCCGGCACACAGCAGGAACGCGGAGAGAGUUUCGUGAAUGAAAAAAACUGGGGGUUUGAGAUCGUUGCCUCUUGACAAACUUCUAAGUACUGUCGCUUUAAUUUUUUUUAUAUUUUUAA
Molecule: long non-coding RNA, 575 nt
Organism: Neofelis nebulosa (Clouded leopard)
Lineage: Eukaryota; Metazoa; Chordata; Mammalia; Carnivora; Felidae
Exons: 3
Source: RefSeq, a predicted model, not a curated record